AUUGAACGCUGGCGGCAGGCCUAACACAUGCAAGUCGAACGGUAACAGGAAACAGCUUGCUGUUUCGCUGACGAGUGGCGGACGGGUGAGUAAUGUCUGGGAAACUGCCUGAUGGAGGGGGAUAACUACUGGAAACGGUAGCUAAUACCGCAUAACGUCGCAAGACCAAAGAGGGGGACCUUCGGGCCUCUUGCCAUCGGAUGCGCCCAGAUGGGAUUAGCUAGUAGGUGGGGUAACGGCUCACCUAGGCGACGAUCCCUAGCUGGUCUGAGAGGAUGACCAGCCACACUAGAACUGAGACACGGUCCAGACUCCUACGGGAGGCAGCAGUGGGGAAUAUUGCACAAUGGGCGCAAGCCUGAUGCAGCCAUGCCGCGUGUAUGAAGAAGGCCUUCGGGUUGUAAAGUACUUUCAGCGGGGAGGAAGGGAGUAAAGUUAAUACCUUUGCUCAUUGACGUUACCCGCAGAAGAAGCACCGGCUAACUCCGUGCCAGCCGCCGCUGUAA
Molecule: ribosomal RNA, 506 nt
Filed under: uncultured bacterium
Lineage: Bacteria
Description: partial 16S ribosomal RNA
Rfam family: Bacterial small subunit ribosomal RNA
Source: RNAcentral